GAUGAACGCUGGCGGCGUGCCUAACACAUGCAAGUCGAACGAUGAUGGAGAGCUUGCUCUCCUGAUUAGUGGCGCACGGGUGAGUAUACCAUAGAUAAUGUACCUCUUAGUUCGGGAUAGCCACUGGAAACGGUGAUUAAUACCGGAUACUCCUUCUUGUCUUAAGGCAAGUCGGGAAAGUUUUUUCGCUAAGAGAUCAGUCUAUGUCCUAUCAGCUAGUUGGUGAGGUAAUGGCUCACCAAGGCAAUGACGGGUAUCUGGUUUGAGAGGAUGAUCAGACACACUGGAACUGAGACACGGUCCAGACUCCUACGGGAGGCAGCAGUGAGGAAUAUUGCACAAUGGAGGAAACUCUGAUGCAGCAACGCCGCGUGGAGGAUGACGCAUUUCGGUGUGUAAACUCCUUUUAAGAGGGAAGAUAAUGACGGUACCUCUUGAAUAAGCACCGGCUAACUCCGUGCCAGCCGCCGCCGUAA
RNAcentral lists this ribosomal RNA (476 nucleotides) under uncultured bacterium. RNAcentral's name for it is "partial 16S ribosomal RNA". It matches the Rfam family "Bacterial small subunit ribosomal RNA", at positions 28 to 523 of the family's 1533-position model. The record is from RNAcentral.